Long non-coding RNA from Oncorhynchus gorbuscha (pink salmon), 3963 nucleotides. RefSeq lists it as uncharacterized. The record is from RefSeq and is a predicted model, not a curated record. Lineage: Eukaryota; Metazoa; Chordata; Actinopteri; Salmoniformes; Salmonidae. The transcript is spliced from 5 exons.
UCCAGUGUGUUUCAUGGCUGAGAUAGUGCAGCGACAGGCAGGCAGCUGCGAAUCACAUUUCACUUUAGCUGAACUUCUCAAAUCUAUUUGAGCUAUGGCAGAGGGAACACAGUGAGUCUGUCCGGUCUACUAAUAGUCCGGCCCCGCCGCGGAUGUGGCAAGCGAGGACAUGCUGGUAGCCUAUUCUUUAUGAUUAUUUCUUAAAGAGCCGGCGAACGCAACACAGCUCCGUUUGCUAUGGAUGCUUCUUUGGCCGAAGAUUAUAUAGGCCUACUUUGCUACACUGUUACAAUGUAUCGACUUAGAGCAUGGAUCACUACGUAGCUUAGUAGUCUUUUCUCACACUCGCAUCAUUGUUGCCGCUGUGCAGCGAGGACACGAUAGUUACGGGGGGAGACAGACGAAACACAGCGUGACUGUCGCUCAGGACUUGAACUUGAACUUCAUUUUGAAAACGGCGUCCAUGUGUGAUCGACGUUAAGUCUUCUUUUUUUCCCAUAAGCAAUAUCCAUUAUCUGUGAUUCAUUGACAAACUACGAGGAGAAAUGAGGAAAAUACAGAUGUUUUGAAGACAAUAAACUAAACUGCUGGCUGCUCCACCUCGGACAUUGAAGAAGUGGACAUUUCAUAUCAACAGAAAGUAAAAGAAUUGAAGAAUGCAUGUUAUAGAUGUUGUUAUAACAGGAUAACUACAUUAUGGUUCUGGAUCUACUACCCUGGUGGAAAAUAAGGCCUGUCUGGAUUUCAACAUCCUGGAUUUCGCAUCCAUAGUUGUUGUGUGCUGCUGACUGUCUAUGUCCGAUUUGAGGUUGAUUGGAUCCGGGGGGCAAUGUAUAGAGACGGAACAGACCCCGGAUUAAAAGGUGGACUCCAAUCAAGUUGGAAAAACAUCUCAAGGAUGACCAAUGGAAACAAGUCUCAUAGCAAAAUAUCUGAAUACGGCCUACAAAAAGGCAAAAGACCUCCUGCGGGGACUGGGGCUGGGAUUAAUUUUUUUAAUUUUUUAAAAGUUAAUAAUAUAUAAAUAUAGGACAAAACAUACAUCACGACAAGAGAGGCAACACAACACUACAUAAGAACAGGCCUAAGACAACAACAUAGUAAGGCAGCAACACAUGGCAACUCAGCAUGGUAGCAACACACCAUGGUGGCAGCACAAAACCUGGUACAAACAUUAUUGGGCUCCAAAAAAAUUGAAAUUACAUGAUUUUAUACUAAUACAAUUUCUCAAAUAAAUAACAAGUGUUUAACAAGUGUUGAAUUCGGGGUAAAAGGGGUGUUGGAUAUGGGAACAUUUCAGUUAAACUGAGUAUACAGAAGGAUGGAAAUGUUUUGAAAAUGUAUUUAAAUGUUUCCUGAAGGACAGGGAAAGAAAAUGGAGAGGAAACAUUUUAAUGGGGACGUAUGCCCUGUAUACUGACUUUUUCUCGUGAGGCCUGAUCAAUCUCAGUAGAAAUUAUCGGAACAGGGGGGGGUUUAAUUAUAAAAUGAAUGAGAAACACCAGUCUCUAGUCAAAUUGUGCCAUUACUUUAAGAGCUUAUUAUUAUUUGCGUAGGGAGUUAUAAAGAGUUGUAAUUCUAAGUUGAUUAGUUAUUCGAAUUUGUUUAUUUUUGAUUUAACAUUGUUGUUUUUGAAUCACGUGUUCGACGGGGUAAAUGACCCGUUUCCUGACUUCCUGGUCUUUGUGUAAAUAUACAGAAGUACUGUGUUUAGUCUGCAAAUAGAAGGGAAAAUAUAUGUUAAUAAGGGAUGACAGUUAUUUCAAAUGGAUUGUGAUGUGUAUUGCUGAUUUGAUUUGAUGUUUUAGUUUCGAUACAAAAUUCACCAGAUUGGGAUACUGGAGUGUGAGAUUCUGCGAGGGGUUAGGGUGCUAACUUCAUGAUCUGGUAACUCUUCCAAGAGUUUGCCAGUUGAAUAAGGGAGUAUGGAUCCAUUUUGAAAAUGGUUUCAACAGUAACAGUAUGUUGGUAUGCUCUUUGACAUUUGUCGUAGAGAUAACGUUAUUAAGAAAAGGUUCAUGUAGUAAUUCAUCAUAUAAUCAAUACUUGUCUGGAUUUCCUGAAACAGAAAUGAAUUGAGCUAAACUGUUGUUGUGAUCUGUGCUUUUUUGAGGUUAUCAUGGAAGGUGACGUCAGAUCGUGUCUUCAUGCAUGGCAGGAAUGAUUUGACCACAGACAGUAUAUGUGAAUCUCAAAACCCUCCCUAAGUGUAUGGUCUAACAGGGAUGAUGUGUGCUAAAUUGAUGAACUGGAAUUCGAAUCCUGGACUCAACGUAAGCACUAAGGACUGUCAUUCUAAAUUUGGGUUGGAUAAUUUAUAAAAUGUUUUAGUUAUGAUUUGGAUAUAGCGAGAGAGAGUUGCUACAGAAUGGUGAGGGGUGGGGGUGCUGCUAACAUUUAUUUGGCCGAGAGAGUCUCCAGAAACCUUAUCUCUAAGUGUCAUCCUAAAGGGAGGUGGUUUGUUAGGGUAAUCACUGGAUGAUAGCAUGGGACAACCAUGAAAGUUUUUUGUUCUCUUUUGUUUUACCAUGUACUCAGAAUGUGUAUGUUAAAUCGCAUCAGUAGGUGAUGCUAAGUUAUUAAACAUGUACUAUUUCUCUUUCUUUUUCAAGUCAAUAUGUUUUUAGGUUUCGUGGAACAUAAGAGUGUUCAUUGUUCCAGAGGAGGGACUGAUGUAUAUUGACUAAUUGAUUUGAGAAUGUUUUAGUAUGUUUAUAACUGUGGAAAAGCAUUAGGAGUAGUGACUGGUUUGUUAUGGGUUAGGUGUAAUGAUAGAGGAGUAUCAUUCCCAGAGACUGUAUAUUGUUAUAGGAGAUAGCUCUUAGGAGAGAGAGGACAGCUAAAAGCUAACUGUAUACAAUAUGGGGAUUUAACUGAACAUUACACAUACCCAAAUCAUGGUGAGAGUAGAAGAGAUAGUGAUGGCAUUUCAGACACUAUGGUAAACUUGCAGGAAACCUGUGACUCAGAGUUUUGUUAGGUUGUAAUUUUUUCCCAAAUCAUUCAUCUUUUUCCAAAUUUUUAACAGCAAAUUUCUAACAUUUGACAGAUUACAUGUAGGAGUUAUUCUCACGGCAAUCACGGUAGGGACAGUAACUGAAGGAGCAGUAUUACUAGCGAAGUAUGCUAUAUUGGAAUUGGAUUACUGAGCAAGUGUGGGCUAUUGUGAGACUAUGGUCAUGGGCCAUGUUAGUAGUAGCAGGGGUUACUUUAGUAGCAUUGCUGAGAAGGGUCAGGCAAGCGGGUACAGAGUCCAGAAACAGACAAGGGUCAAAACCGGGAGGACUACAAAAAGGAGAAUAGCAAAAAGUAGGAGAACGGGAAAACUUGGUUGACUUGGAAAACAUACAAGACGAACUGGCACAGAGGGACAGGAUGGGCGGACAGGUGUGGGCAGCUUGGUUGAAGAGCAUGCAUUUAGUUUUACUUGCAUUUAAGAGCAGUUGGAGGCCAGGGAAUGAGAGUUGUAUGGUAUUGAAGCUGGAGGUUAGUUAACACAGUGUCCAAAGAAGGGCCAGAAGUAUACAGAAUGGUGUCGUCUGCGUAGAGGUGGACCAGAGAAUCACCAGCAGCAAGAGCGACAUCAUUGAUGUCAUUCCAUAUAAAGGAGUGAGAAGUUAAUGGUUCUCUGUAGAAAGACAUAGUGGCAGUGGAAUGUGCUGAGUGGAUGGGAGGGAGUCAUGGGAGUGCCAUAGGUGAUAUGAGAGGACAUCUGUGGAUUAGGUGAAGGAGGAGUUGAGGUCAGAAGGUCAGGAGGUCAGGAGGUCAGGUCAGAUCACCUGAAGGGAGAAAUAAUGGUUUAUUAUCCUGUUACCCUCUUCCUGUCAAACCAUAAGAUGUAAGGAUAGGAGAGAAGGAGGGGUGCCGUAUAUAUUUUUAUUUAUUUAUUUCACCUUUAUUUAACCAGGUAGUCAAGUUGAGAAAAAGUUAUCAUUUAUAAUUGCGACCUGGUUAUAUACUCUA